This is an RNA transcript of Biomphalaria glabrata, 3386 nucleotides long. It is a transcript of the gene named RNA-binding protein 25-like, with no coding region annotated. NCBI's taxonomy places the organism in Eukaryota, Metazoa, Mollusca, Gastropoda, Planorbidae. The record is from RefSeq and is a predicted model, not a curated record. The transcript has 3 exons.
ACAACAAAAUGAAACAUAAUCUUAUCUUAUCUGUUAUGACAUGAUUAGGAAGUAGUUAGGAAUUAGUUAUUUGUUUCGGGAAUAGGGUAAAGUUUUAAUUAGCGACAAGUGACGUGACAGAUCUUUUAAAAGGAGGAACGCUCUAAACGACGCUAGAAGGAGGACGCGUAUUGUAAAGUAGUAGACUUGAGUACGACAUUAUUGACAUCGGACGAUUCCCUUUUGAGUAUUAAACAUAUUGUUAGAACAACAUAUCAGCGUCGACUACAUAUUUGAUUGUUUCGGCCUUUCGCCGGUGUUACUGAAGUGUUGAAUUCAGCGUUACCUACAGUCAGAUCUACACUAGACAGAUUGUCAAGAAUCAACACCGCGCAGAGGUCUUAACAACGUGGCGACCCCUGACUCGGAGCUCACUGGCAUCAACGUUCAGAAGGAUAGAAGCCCUCUGUUAGGAGGAGGCAGAAGUUAACGUCAUCGGCCUAGUCUGCAGCUAGACCCUGAUUGUACAGCCACGUCGGCGAAGGAAAGCCAGUGAGAUCCUGGACUCGUAGACCUAGGAGGUAACGAAAUAUAGAUCUAGAUCUACAUUUGUAAUUUGUAAACGCCCAUACGUUGGGGCAUCGUACUGAAGCCUGUAGUUCGGUAUUGAGAAAGCUACAGUUGUUGAAGGGAAGAAAACCGUCCUGUCGAAGCCGUACUGAAGAGAUAUCGCCUGCCCGGCAUCUUGAGAACGAACGUGAAGGUCACCUCUGCAAGGCCAAGAUCGACUGUUGAGGUCACGCCAAAGAACGUGUGACGUAGGAACCAUCUUACUGCCUACGGCACUGAAGUACAGUAGUGCUAAUCUGAUCUACGUCUCGGCUGAAUCUGUGCUACACGUUAGAUAGCCAGAUAGCCGGUAUUUUAGCACUGGACUUUGACUUUGUCGCUGUGUCAACUGUUGGACCGUUCCAGUGUCACUUUGGACAGACGACCACCUGGAACCACCGUACCUGCCUUGGAACCAGCAACCGGAACCAGACUCUACGUCACCGACGAACCGGAGCCAGACGACAGAUCACCGUGAACCAGAACCAGACGCCGUACCACCGAAGAACCGGAGCCGUUGCAGACCAGCACCGAAGGACCUUGGAGAGCCGAAACGUUCGCUGUCCUUAUCUCACCGCUAGAGAAGACAUCGCCGUGAACCUUGCCGCCGGGACAGACAUUAGCGUAGGAAGAGUGGACCCGAGACUGACUGUGGAGUUAUCGCAUCGCCGCUUCUUAGACAGAUAAGUCAAGUGUUAUUUAACUACUUUCUCCGUAGAAUAAUUAGAGUCUGUAGGGAAGUGACCACUCGCUAGAUUAUCACUACCAGGUUAAAUCGUGGUGGAUUGGGGAUAUCCUUAAAAUUAGGUGUAAUCUAGCAAGAGGUCCAGAUAUACGUUUAGCUGUUAAUUCGUCCUGUAUGUGAAUGUGGAUCAUUUAGUUAAGCAUUUUUUUUUGUAGUAACGUCAUGUAUUAAUUGUUUGCAAUACUCCCGUCUUAAGUAUUACUGUCAGACGAAAGUCUCAUUCAUUAGAACUAGAGCUAUAGUUUGGUGUUUAUCGUAUUUAGGUUUAAUUUCAUAGUUUAUUUGUAUGCGUUGUAAGUUAUAUACACUCCUGGCUGUGGAAGCAGGUAAGAAGUAACUAAGAUCUAGCGUAAUCUAGACUAGAUCUGGGGAACAAUCGAGGUGAAGCCUGAUUGCCCAUUUGUAAAUUUAGUAUUUGUAAAUAGACAGGGUGGUCUAUUUACCGGCGACUCGUGUUGAGUAACACGUAGUCGGUUGAGUGUGCGUGUGUCGCACAGCGUAUUCAGUCGGGUCAGAGUGUAGCCUACACACUGGUACCAAGGAUACUAAGUGUAUCUUGGAAAGUACAGAAGUUAUUAAAAGUCGGAGUUGGUAGUCUAGACGCCGAGGGUAGAGUGGCGAAUUUAAUUUAUUUGAAUCAAGAGGUAUUAGGUAGCCGCGGAGCGAGGUUACGCUCAAAAGGUAAAUUGUCUGUCCUGACGUGUGAGGGAAAGCGGUGUAACCUCUGGAACGUGAUGUGAUGAAGUAUAGAUAGACACACCUAUAGUGUCAGCGCAAACGAACUAUGUCUGCGGUCACCUAUGGCACAUCACAUUGGACAGUAUCAGUUAGUGACACUUGAGGGAAAUAGGUGUUCAGAGGAACUUGAUUGUGGACACAGAAAGAGAAGUUGAACUCGCAAUCAAGACUCAAGUUGUGUUGUCUUUUAUGUUUCCCUACAUUUUGGCCCUUGCACAUUGUAAGACUAAGACAGUAGAUUUAAAAAAUUGACAGGCAAUUUUUUUUAGCGGGAGGGGGAGGAGUUGUUAUGACAUGAUUAGGAAGUAGUUAGGAAUUAGUUAUUUGUUUCGGGAAUAGGGUAAAGUUUUAAUUAGCGACAAGUGACGUGACAGAUCUUUUAAAAAGAGGAACGCUCUAAACGACGCUAGAAGGAGGACGCGUAUUGUAAAGUAGUAGACUUGAGUACGACAUUAUUGACAUCGGACGAUUCCCUUUUGAGUAUUAAACAUAUUGUUAGAACAACAUAUCAGCGUCGACUACAUAUUUGAUUGUUUCGGCCUUUCGCCGGUGUUACUGAAGUGUUGAAUUCAGCGUUACCUACAGUCAGAUCUACACUAGACAGAUUGUCAAGAAUCAACACCGCGCAAAGGUCUUAACAUAUCUUAUAUAAUACAGACGUUACUUCAAAAAAGAAGAUGACUAUAUAAUCAUAGGUGAAUAUUAAUCCAUCAGACCGGAUUAUUUAAAAGUAUCGACCCUGAACAGCUGGACUGACUAUUUGCAUAUACCGUUCAAACUUAGAGAAAUGUGAUUUGUUUUUUUAGAUAGGGGCCUCGCAUAGGCUGUGGUGUUUUUGCCGUAGAAAAUAACAGCACCAGAUGCUACCUUCAGACUAACGACAGUGCCAACUACCCAGAAUGCUGCGAGCCUGUCUUUUACUGCAUAGGAUCCGCUGGCUUCCACCCAUCUAAGCUACAGACUCCAACUAUAACGGCCAGCACAAACGCUCCUGUCACAAAAAUAAAAAUUACACCUAAGCCCGCAAAGAAACCGACACCCAAGCCAACAAGGAAACCUGCGCUAAGGGCUACACCUAAACCUGCCUCUAGGCCUACACCAAAUCCGGUACCCAAACCUGCACAAAAACCUCAAGUAAAUAGAAGGGGGUAAAAAUAGAAUCCAUUACGUCACCGAUCUAGUUCAUUACUCCGCCAAAGCUAUUAAGAAUGUAAAGAUUUUUAUGUUAAAAAAUAAAGACGACUUAUAAGGGAAAUAUUAUAGACAUCAAGUUUAUGUAAAUGUAAUAUUAAAAUAAUACAGAUGUCUUGUCAUA